Meleagris gallopavo (turkey) is the source of this 1860-nucleotide non-coding RNA. Lineage: Eukaryota; Metazoa; Chordata; Aves; Galliformes; Phasianidae. The record is from RefSeq and is a predicted model, not a curated record.
CUAAAGCCGCCUGGGGAGGGCGCGGGACGCUUCUCUGCCCGGCCGUGGCCUUUGCUCUCUGACUCAGGGCUGUGCUGGGCCCGUGUCCCUGAGGCGGCAUUGGUGCUGGGCCAGGGGGGCACCCCAAGCUCCCGCCUCUGCGUGCCGCUCAGUCGUUUCCAGCCCAGCCCUGCAACCCCCAGGGCACUGCAGGGUGGAAGGAUGCAGCCUGAUGCCCACCUGCAGGCAAGCAAUGAGGAGUUGUCUUUUACCUCGUGGAAGAAAGCUUUUUCAGGCUCCUGCAUCGCAUAAGUGCCAGCUUGGCAUUUUUUACACCACCUGGACACGGGGGCAGGCAGCAAGGGGCUGUUAGGAGCUGAAAUCCCAAUAAAUACAAAAUACAGCCCUUUUUCCCAGCUACAGCUGGCAGAGGCUGCAGAUGGUAAAUAACAAAGUACACUGAAAUGUGGCGCUGUGUCAAUUUCCUGGCUUUUUGGUCUGCUGCAGGUCACUGCAACUUAACUCUUAGCAUUGCUCCUUUGCCAGUUUCCAACAUGGCUUCUCCUGGAGGGCCUACACGUUGCUGUGGGGUUUGUUAAUACCUUUAAUGAACUGCUGAGGAAGACAGCAGGGAUUUGUGUACAAGGUCAGUGGUUGCAAUCCACCACAGCCUGUGCCACAAACCAGCUAAUAGCUGCUAAAUGGUCCGUAUGAAAUCAGUUUAGUGGAUUUCAAGCCAGACAGCAGUUGAUAAAUGCCUAAAAAUCACUUCUCCAAUUGACUUCCUUGUUGGCAGUCACAGCAAGUUAGUGAUGGACUGAAGAGGCCAUGCAAAUUCAGCAAUUCAUGGGGGCUAUGAGCAUGGACAAGAUUGCUUGUGAAUACUUUCACCCUGUUGUGAAUGCCAGAAGUCUUCAGAGGAGAUCACAAUACAACACUAUAGGUAUCUAGCAGAAAUGUUAAGAUACGGCCUGAAACAGUGAUUGAGCACAUGGUGAAAAAGGCAGGGCCAACCCAGGGGAGCUCAGGUGUUUGCAAUGCAUCUGAGUGAGGAGAAGAGAUGGAGCCAGAAUCCACCCUUUCCCACACCUCAUUUAUGGGUUGGCAGUGGAGGUAAAGGUAUUUUGCUGAAGAUCCCUGCCUACUGGGAGUCUUCUAAAGUCGGACCUCUCUCACAUUCUGAGCUCUCCCAGCUGAAAGCUGCACUAUUUGAUACAAAGAUUAAGCUUCAGGAAAGGAAACUACUCAGAUGCUGGUAAGUGACGUGGCAGAACAGGUAGGUAAAAGGAGAACCUCUGGGAUAGCACAUUUUUUUGAUAAGUUCAAUUUUAAGCCCAGGAUGAAAUGCAGCUGCUGACACACAGAGCAGGUUCCCCAAGUGCUGGAUUUGUGGUGAAUUGUAGUGGGUGACUCCAGAAGCUUCUGGCAUUUCUUGUUUUUCCAAGAGAGACCAAAAAACCCAUGAGACGUGAAUGCCAUGGGAAAACCAUGCUUGUACACACAGGGUAGGCAAUGAUCUCUGUUUUUUGAUGGGUUUUCAGAGCCACCAGCUGAGGCAGCCUUUAGAGCAGAGUCCAAGCAUCACCUUCUUUCAGAAGUAUCCCUUCCUUCCUUCUAGGAAUGACAGUUACCAGAGUUUGUUAUUUAUUUGGGAUUUUGCUGACACCUCGACCCAACUCACAUUCAUACUUUCUGGGUGAUGUUCCAUAAUCAGAGUGGUCUGGGGACUCAGUGGUAGCGUUGUGACUUCUCUUUAUCUCCGUAUCAUCAUGCUUGAGUUCAUGCCUUGGAAAAUGUGCUGGGACAGAGUUCUGCCAUAAUAAACAAAAACAUAGAGGCUGUGUUGUCUGUAGAAACCACACCAGCGAAUGCUUGAUCUAU